ACAAAAGUAAAUUAGUUAUACAAUAAAUAUAUCUAAUUACAAUUUUUGUAUUUAACUUGAAUAUAUAUUAGAAAUAAUUUUUACAUUUAUUAGUAAUUUCUAUGUAUCAUUUGAAUAUUUGCAAAACGAACGAAAAAAGAAAUGUAUCACAAUGAAAGAAAUAUUUUGCUAAUUAAUAAUAUUUAUCAAGAUUACAGAUUUUGAUCGAUGUUCGCUAGAUUUCGAAGGAAUAGAGGAGAGAGAGACAGAGAGAGAGAGAGAGAGAGAGAGAGAACGAGAACGAGAGAGAGAGAGAGAGAGAAUGAGAUCGAUGGGUUAGGAACGUGGAAUCAUUGUUGGAUCGUAUGGUUCGGCAUUGCGGUGAGAUUAACUCGAUAUUACGAGGGAAAUACGCCGAUAGCGUUCGAAACGUCGGAUGGUCAAAGGAGGUGAUGGUGGAGGUGGAGAUGGAGUGCAGGAGAAAGAGGAGGAGAUGGUAGUGGUGGUCGUAGAGAUGGAGGUGGAGGCCUUACAAAGAUAGCUCGUUUUCAAAUUGGCUCUGAGAGCCAAUGAUCGUUCGAGCACGUAAUCGAUGUAAUUUAAUGAAUGACGGGCCGGUUUGCGCUCGAGCACACUCGUGAAGGAGAAGCCAUAGUGAGAGCCUGUAUUACGCAUACCAUAUCUGUCUAUACACGUACACACACAUAUAUAUAUAUAUAUAUAUAUCUAUCCAUGUAUGACAUACAUACAUACAUAUUGUCUAUGUAGAUACACAUAUGUAUAUAAAACAGAUAUACAUAUAUCUGUUCAAAGAGAGAAGAGGACUGUCCAAUAGGCGCAGCCCGAUGUCAGUCAAGGAAUUAAUCCAUGAGACAAGGCGUGCGGACGGGACUUCGAGAAACCCAUGGGAAUCGUCGAGAUGUCCUAACGGGGUCAACGUUAUGGAAUAAAAAAAAAAAAGUAAUAAAAAGAACAAAAAAAGAAAAAAAAAAAAAGAAGAAGAAAAAAGGGCGAAGCGCGUCUACUCCACUUCGUUAGGACUCAUCGAGGCAAGGAGAAACGAUGAGAAUGGUGGAAGAGGAGAAGGAUGAGGAGGAGAAGGAUGAGGAGGAGGAGGAGGAGGAGGAGGAGGAGGAGGAGGAUGAAGAGGAGGAACUAAGGGCCCCGGAAAUCUCGCAUUCCAUUCGUUCGCUCUCAUCUCUUGUACCACUAUUCUGGAAUUUCGGACGGAUCGAUAGAUAUGUAUUUGCUAAUCAAACGAAAAAAUUCAUAUUUUUAUUACAAAUUCGUGUUUUCCAUGAACGAAUAGUAUCACAUUCAUAAAUAUAACGUUGUAAACAUUCGAUUAAAUCGUCACUUUGAUAUAUUCACACAAAUGAUAAAUACGACGGUUCUUUUUAUAAAAUCAAAAAAAAAAAAAAAAAAAAAAAAAAAAAAAAAAAAAGAAAAAGAAAAAAGAAAGAAAAAGAAAACAAAGAAAUGAUACGUUCACUUUAUGAGUAGAUAUCGCAUGUAUUGAAAACUUCAUAAGCAUAGAAGAAACAAAUCAUAUUAGAGUUUCUCUUCGAGUUCGUAGGGUAUCAUUAAAAACCUUUAAAAAAAUCAAUGUCUAUUUCUCAAGAAAAAGCGAAAGAAAAAAGAAAAAAAAAAAAAAAAGAAAAAUUCAUUUUAAUAAUGAACAACCAAUAAUAAUGUCAUUUGCUCGAAAGAAAAGUAAAUGUAUAUGAAGAGGGACGAAUAUUAGAAUUGUAAGAAAUAUUUUUGAUUGAGAAUGACGUAAACUGGAUCAUUAACUGGGCACAGACAAUAAUCACCGUCGUCAUUACCCAUCAGCAUCAUCCAUUAGCAUCAACAUAACAGAGACCAAAGACAGAGGCAGAGUCAGAGUCAGAGACAGAACCAGAAGCAGAAGCCAGUAGUAGAAGCAGCAGUAGAAGCAGAAGCCAGUAGUAGAAGCAGUAGUAGAAGCAGAAGCAGAAGUAGA
This is a long non-coding RNA of Vespa velutina, 1963 nucleotides long. RefSeq lists it as uncharacterized. The transcript is spliced from 3 exons. Lineage: Eukaryota; Metazoa; Arthropoda; Insecta; Hymenoptera; Vespidae. The record is from RefSeq and is a predicted model, not a curated record.